UCAAUUCACCAUCUUGGCACAUUCUGUGCGUAGGGAUAAUGUAGAUAGUACCAUCAUGAAACGAUAAGCUUAAUUAGCUGUUCUAAAUUAGUAGUCUUCAAACACACAAGUUGCACUAAAAUCCAACUCUAUCCCAAAAAAAUCCAAAAUCUAAUCAAGUAAAACAAUUUAGACUUUGCUUUGGAGUCUUUUCUAGAGCACCGAGCACAUACGUUUUUAUACAAGUCAAUAUGAAAACGUAACCGGAACGAUAAAGCCCCCAACUAAUAUUCGAUCUCAUGCUGGCAUGCUGCCGUCUUAUAAAAGAAACAGUGGCGUGCAUCUAACUGAUGCCUGAUGGAUAUGAAUUUGGACCAAAUCUAUCUCCAGCUCAUUCUGGUAGUUUUGACCUUAUAACUUAUGGCUAUAAAUGGUACAUUGUUUUCCCGCUCAUUCAGGAGAGACACGUGUGUGUAAAUCUGUGGUGAACAUGUCGUUGUUCUUACAAUACGAAAUUGCUUCAGACAGGGCCCACAUGAGUUUCUAGCACCUCUCCGGCUUUCCCUUUUCUCUGUUUAAAGAAACAAUUUAGAAAAAUUCCGACUUUCCUAGAAUAUUCAUAUAUCCCAGAAUUUUUUGUAAUUUAAAAUAGAAUUGACUAUAAUUUCUUAAUUGUAUGAGAAAUUAUUUUGCACCAUAUAUUAUAAGAUAAAAUCUGCUAUGUAGACUGUUACGAUAACUACCACAUAAAUCUAUGUGAUAUCAAAUUUACUUAAUUGUAUAUUAUAAGUAUAUUUGUAGAGGUUCAUGUCUUUAAAAUUAAUGUUUCUUUUAUGCAUUGCUUGAUAAGAAAAUAAAUGUAUUUGGGAACAUAUCAUAGUUGUCACAUACUAUAUAUAGCGUAUUCUUGAACAGAAAAAAAAAGAAACAAAAACAAAAAUAUAUAUUCAUUGAGGACCUCGGUGAUCCUCUUCUUAACAAAGUACCACCAACAUUCAUAAAAAAAAAAGGUAACCACCAACACAAUUAUUUUUGGACGGCUUAAAAUCCACAAACCUUAUAUCAAUAAUAGUGUAGAAAAAGGCAAAUACUAUACUGUGGUAGGUGGUUCGAACUUCUCAUCAAAUAGUUAUGAUUUUUAAUUACUAGUAAUAAGUAAUAACAACCCUAGGAAAGAAAAAACAAUUACCUUUUAUUGUGGCGGAGAGAGAGUUCAAUAGUUAAAUGGUAGACACAGAGAAUACAUCUGUCAGAGGCUGACUCAUUGUGAUUGAUGCCUUAUCUUUCUCACUUUUUCCUACGUGUGCCCCAAAAGACUCUCACGCAUAUC
This 1309-nucleotide long non-coding RNA is filed under the name Brassica napus (rape). RNAcentral's name for it is "long non-coding RNA (BNAP_LNC006326)". Lineage: Eukaryota; Viridiplantae; Streptophyta; Magnoliopsida; Brassicales; Brassicaceae. The record is from RNAcentral.